CACUACUGAGGAGUCCCACAAUAGGACGAAACGGCCGUCCACUGG
Non-coding RNA from Schistosoma rodhaini, 45 nucleotides. The record is from Rfam. Lineage: Eukaryota; Metazoa; Platyhelminthes; Trematoda; Strigeidida; Schistosomatidae.